Long non-coding RNA from Equus caballus (horse), 1900 nucleotides. NCBI's taxonomy places the organism in Eukaryota, Metazoa, Chordata, Mammalia, Perissodactyla, Equidae. The record is from Ensembl.
UUACACUCUAGAAAGAUAAAUAAUCUUCCCAAAUUCCCAAGAUGGUGCACCAGGCCCCCUGUGAUGGGCCCUGCCUCCUCUUCAGUCUCAUUGCUCUACAUUCCCCACAGCCUUUGUGUUCUUUUUUUUGAGACUCCUACCACCUCAGAGCCUUUGCACCUUCUGUUCCAUCAGCCUGAAUUACUCUGCACCGUUGCCUCCUUAGCAACUCCGCAUACUUCAGGUCUCAGCUUAAACCCCUCUUCUUAAAAGGAUUCCCUCUCAAUCCCAAAGAUUAGGUCAGGUUCCACCUGUUACAUCGCAUCACAGCCCCCUCUGCUUUUAAUUCUUGUAAUUAUUUGAUUAAUCCACCGGCUCCUUAAGGACAUCAGUAAUGCUUUUGUUGUUUCCCACUGUAUUCCCAGCACACAACAGGUGCUCACCAAAUACUCUGAAGUGAAUGAAGAUUAUAAAUUUUUUAUUAAAGCAAAAACUGGGGUAUGUUAGUCCCUAGUCUUCCAAGCAGACAUCAAGACAGGUUUACACCUGCCAGGAUUUUAUUAGGGGGAAGGCAUACGAAAAAAAAUGGAGAGGAAACUAGGAGAGUCGUCAGACUGUGAGGCAAGUCUGACCCUAGAGUGAAGAAGGGAAGAAAGGAAGGUUCGGAAGACCGUCCUCUACAUUCUAGCUCAGUCCAAGAGAGGUUCGGCGAGGCCAUCGAGGAACCCACCAGCCAAAGCUGAAGGUCAGAGGAGUGCCCUGUCUCCCGGGAACCCACGCUUUGGCAUCACCACCGCACGCACUCAUUCGCUCGGAGCGCCAUGGGAGGCGUGGUCCGGCAGCUGCGGCACUCACUCAUUGGCUGGGAGCACCGUGGGAGGGGUGGUCUGGCAGCUGGGGAGUGCAGUUCAGGGCUGGCCGCAGCCCAGCGAUCAUCAUUUAUGCUCCAUGGAGGAGGAAGUCUCCUUCUUCUGGCUGCCAUGUGGGCGUUCAGAGGCGAGAGGAGGUGACUUCUUGUUUAUAGGGAGGAGAAAAAUUACUAAAGGUAUGUCUUCCACAAAAGGGCGGGGAAUCUUAAUUUUGAGGCUCAGCAAGUAUCUGUUGAACACAUACUACUCUUCGACACGGUGGAAGACACUGUAAGACUGGGCACGCCUCAAAAAGCUUAUCAGCUAGUUAAGUGACAAAGUCAAGUCACAUACAUGCUCCUGACCCUCAGUCUUCCCAUUUCGAAAAUAAAGAUAACUCCACCCACCUGUGUGACGUGUGACACUUAGAUCCAGUGGCCUCCCUGCAUAAGAAUCGUGAGAAAGAAGAGGAAACAGAUUUUCCAGGUGAAGAGGCAGCGUUUGAUCCCGGACUCAAUGCUGGUCGUCAGAGAAAGGGGUGAAAGAGUCUCCCGACUGAGAAAGCAGCACGUGCAGCCGCGGAGUGUGAUCGCCCGGCUGUAGGGGGACAAGUGCUCUUAGGAGGAAAAUACAUAAGAAGAGAAGAUUAUUACUGUUUGAAAAGUGCUUUGAGAUCCUCUGAUGAAAGGAAGCCGUGCUGGGAGGCAGGGGAGAAGGGCUGGAAGGAAGACGGGAUGUUGGAGCAAACUGGAGUAGGUCAUGUUGACAGGGAGGAAGACAGCCUGGGAGCCCUGCACGUCUGAGUGUGGACCCAGGGCCUUCCUCUGUUCCCAGGGGAGUUUGCACGCCCUCACCCCCUUGCCAUCUGAACUCUGGUGGCUUUUAGGGCAGUCCGCGUGUUCAAGUUUUACCAAAGGAGUCAUGACCGCUGCAUCAUCAUGGAGAUACCACCUUUGAUUUUUCGGGGAACUGCAGAAUUGUUUUCUGUUGUAUUAAUAUUUGGGUAAUAAUCAUUGAUUAUUAAAAUCUUUAUUCUCUGCGUUUAUGGAGCCACUUUUCUUAGAAAGCCCCAC